This 28-nucleotide non-coding RNA is filed under the name Mus musculus (house mouse). Lineage: Eukaryota; Metazoa; Chordata; Mammalia; Rodentia; Muridae. The record is from RNAcentral.
UGAAGACAACCCAUUUUGGGUACCAGAA